AGCAUUGUCGAAUUUUAAUGCAAUGGGCCGACACUGUACAACGAUGAUCAACAUUUAUUUUUUCAACAAUUUGAAAGUAAAAUUAUUUUCAAAUGUUGAUCAAAUCUUAAAAAAAUUUCAAAUUUGACAAUCAUAAAAAUUUGGGGAAUAUGAGAAAAAAAUUGGGUCAAAAGAUGGAGCGACCGCGGAAUGAUCCUUCGAAACCAUGCUCAGGUAGGAUGAAGGCCUCAUGUCGAUGCAAUUUGAGAGAAAGGAAAGGAAAUUGGUGCUGACGUGGGAAUUUUCACAGCGGUGGCGAGCGAUGGAAAGAAAAAGAACAAAUACAAACGAUCGACCGGAAAUUGAAAAAAAAGGAAAAAAAAAAGGAAUUAUCAGCUGUUGAGUUCCGAUGACCACUCCAAUUAUUUGCGGAGGAACAACAGAAAUUCUGGGGAUUAUAGACCUUAUAUCUUGCAUCAAGCUGUUUUGGUGAUUUUCGAUUGCCGAAUUGCAAAGUCUGGGAGAUUGAAAGUUGUUUAUUUGAAAACUGAGAAAGGUUUAUUAAUUGAAAUUAAACCAUAUGUUCGUCUUCCAAGGACGCAGAAACGAUUUUUGUGGUGGAUGCAAUGGCUCAUGGGAAAAUUGAAACCGAUUACGCCGAUGAUCUAUUAGCAAGUUGAGGAAAGAGCUAGUUUGGUGGAUUUUAAUGUUGGUGAAGGUUUCGGUUCAUGAGGCAGCUUGGUUGCUGUGCAAGUUCGAGAACAAGAAGCGGAUUUCUUUGAGACUGCAAGGAGUCAGGCGUACAAGUCAGAGAAGAAGAAGACGAUUCUACAGAUGAUUCAAUAUCGUCGUCUUGCCAAAAACGACUUUUCCCCCUUUUUCUCUUCCCCGCUUUCGGAUAUGCAAAACAGAGCCAGUCGUCCGUCUUGCUGGUCUCGCUUUCCUUCCUUUGCUUGCUUUUAUGAGCACCGGCAUAAGAGGGAUCAUGAUAUGAGGGGUAAGAAGACCAAUUCUCAUCCGCCGGUGACCCCACUACGCGGUAGAAGGGAGAAGAGUGAAUUCAUCACAAGGACAUUUGCUAAGGAGCUAAGCUGAAGUCAUAUACCCGGAUAAGUCCUAUCUCCGAAUAGAGGUGUCAUUCUUUUUUCAAAUUGAGGAGUAAAGUUUAAUAAAAUUGGAACGAGUUGAUUUACUAAAUUAAAACCAAUUCUAGACUUGUUAGCCCAUCCUAUUUGUGAUGGUGGAAUAUGCUGUGGGAAAGAAGUUUGAAAGGAAAUUAUUGAAUCUCUAA
Molecule: long non-coding RNA, 1270 nt
Organism: Cucumis melo (muskmelon)
Lineage: Eukaryota; Viridiplantae; Streptophyta; Magnoliopsida; Cucurbitales; Cucurbitaceae
Exons: 2
Source: RefSeq, a predicted model, not a curated record